GGCCUCAUAGUUCAAUGGAUAGAAUAGGACACUCCUAACGUCUAGAUCUAGGUUCGAUUCCUAGUGAGGCCA
RNAcentral lists this transfer RNA (72 nucleotides) under Candidatus Magasanikiibacteriota bacterium. Its description in RNAcentral is "Candidatus Magasanikbacteria bacterium tRNA-Arg". It matches the Rfam family "tRNA". Rfam says of the family: Transfer RNA (tRNA) molecules are approximately 80 nucleotides in length. Their secondary structure includes four short double-helical elements and three loops (D, anti-codon, and T loops). Lineage: Bacteria; Candidatus Magasanikiibacteriota. The record is from RNAcentral.